This is an RNA transcript of Melanaphis sacchari, 883 nucleotides long. RefSeq lists it as uncharacterized. Lineage: Eukaryota; Metazoa; Arthropoda; Insecta; Hemiptera; Aphididae. The transcript has 4 exons. The record is from RefSeq and is a predicted model, not a curated record.
GAAAUCGAGUUGUAAUUAGUAGGCAAUAGGCAUUAUAGCCUAGCGGCUAGCGAUAUUACUACUUAGUAGUUAGUACUUAUCAUUGAUUAUAGAAUAGACUAUAAUCAAUGAUACAACGUAAAUCGACAUAUCGUAAUUAUCGUAUCAUCGUGGACAGAGGUUAACUACCAUUUCUGCAAGCCGUUGUCACACAUUUCUCCAGCUACAUUUCUUUGCGUUUUGUGUAAUUUACUACGUGCUAAAGUUCGUCCGCACACAACGGCAGUACCUAUUCAAUCGUCUUAUUCGAAGCUAUAAAACAAUAUAUUAUAACAUCGAGUUCGACCAUCACCGCGAUAUGAUAUUAUACAUUUUGAUUUGUGUGUUUCAAGUUUCUUUCGGUUCGUCUGGCACGCGCAGCGAAUAUUUAUACUUCGCAAUGUAUGCGAGUGUGUUGCCAACGAGUAAAGGAAAUGAAUAUUAUAAUGAAUAUGAUGAUCAAAAUUCAAGGCCUAGCACUAGUCGAGGAGGUGGUGGGUAUUCAGAUCAUUAUGGUUGUACUAAAAAGGUGACAUUCAAAGCAAAUAACUGCAGAGGUAAUCAUUUUCGUAAAAGUUGGGAUAAUAAAACUGAACUGGUUCGUGAUCAUUUGGAUAGUGAAUUUUUUAAUCGAUGUAGAUCACCUAAAAAUAAUACUGGCCGACGGUUUUUCCUAAUAGAAAUCAUAAUCGCAAUGGUCAUGGUAACAUGAUAACUUCAGAAACUCAUGGUCUUUAAAAGAAAGUAGUACUGGAUGGUACUCAGUAUAUUAUGUACCCAAUGUUGAAGAUAGUGAUGAAGUCUUACAAAUAAUCCAAAAUUAUAUCGCACCUGUUGAAUUUUAUCCAUAUAAUGUAUGCUAUUU